Oryctolagus cuniculus (rabbit) is the source of this 105-nucleotide small nuclear RNA. NCBI's taxonomy places the organism in Eukaryota, Metazoa, Chordata, Mammalia, Lagomorpha, Leporidae. The record is from Ensembl.
GCUUGCUUCAGCAGCGCUUACGCUAAAAUUGGAACAAAACAGAGAAGACGCACAUAGCCCCUGGGCAAGAAUGACACACAAAUUCCUUUGCCCUAUUUUGGUUUU